UAUUGGUGGUUAGGAUCGAGCUUUUUCUAUACUGUAACUGUCUAUACUUUCUAAAUUUGUGAAGUAAUAAAUUUGAGCUAAUUAUUGUGUUAUUGAUGUUAUAUUUUUAGUUACAAUUCAAUCAUUUUAAUUCAACUUCAUGUUAUUAUUUUAAUUUUCAGGAACCGAAACCUGGAACAGUGGACAGAUCUUCCACUACUAGAUGGAAAUUUAAACUGACAGUGUUAUCAGGCAUUGGCAUUAUUUGUGGUUUGUUGUUUUACGCUAAAAAAGCAUUGUAAUUUAAAUAAGUACUGAUGUAAGAUCCCAAAUUGUGAUAUUUUCUGUAAGUUUUUUAUGUUGAAUAUAUUUGUAACAUAUUUGAAAGAAUAAAAAAAUGUAUAAGUAA
This is a long non-coding RNA of Homalodisca vitripennis (glassy-winged sharpshooter), 388 nucleotides long. RefSeq lists it as uncharacterized. The record is from RefSeq and is a predicted model, not a curated record. NCBI's taxonomy places the organism in Eukaryota, Metazoa, Arthropoda, Insecta, Hemiptera, Cicadellidae. The transcript has 2 exons.